GCUAAAGUGGCAGAGUGGUCUAAUGCGGUAGACUUAAGAUCUACUAUCUUUUGAUGUCGUGAGUUCGAAUCUCACCCUUAGCA
Molecule: transfer RNA, 83 nt
Filed under: Acanthamoeba polyphaga mimivirus
Lineage: Varidnaviria; Bamfordvirae; Nucleocytoviricota; Megaviricetes; Imitervirales; Mimiviridae
Description: tRNA-Leu
Rfam family: tRNA
About the family: Transfer RNA (tRNA) molecules are approximately 80 nucleotides in length. Their secondary structure includes four short double-helical elements and three loops (D, anti-codon, and T loops). Further hydrogen bonds mediate the characteristic L-shaped molecular structure. tRNAs have two regions of fundamental functional importance: the anti-codon, which is responsible for specific mRNA codon recognition, and the 3' end, to which the tRNAs corresponding amino acid is attached (by aminoacyl-tRNA synthetases). tRNAs cope with the degeneracy of the genetic code in two manners: having more than one tRNA (with a specific anti-codon) for a particular amino acid; and 'wobble' base-pairing, i.e. permitting non-standard base-pairing at the 3rd anti-codon position.
Source: RNAcentral